UGUGGCCACUGUUACCCAUCAGGCUACCUC
RNAcentral lists this non-coding RNA (30 nucleotides) under Rattus norvegicus (Norway rat). Lineage: Eukaryota; Metazoa; Chordata; Mammalia; Rodentia; Muridae. The record is from RNAcentral.